RNAcentral lists this long non-coding RNA (559 nucleotides) under Crocodylus porosus (Australian saltwater crocodile). RNAcentral describes it as "lncRNA (ENSCPRG00005011279.1)". Lineage: Eukaryota; Metazoa; Chordata; Crocodylia; Crocodylidae. The record is from RNAcentral.
AUUUUAGUAAAAAAGCCAAGUUUUGGCAUUAGUUUUUUCUUUAUUAAAUUAAAAAGCAGUGCCUUCAAUUUAUCAAAAAUUGCUCACAAAUACUGUAUUUCUAUGUCUCUUAGCAGUUACGUAGCUCAGCCCUGUACUACCCUUCUGCUACACAAUUCUCAUGAGGAAAUAAUGGAAGGAGACAGCACACUGGAACCAGAGAAAGGGAACUAGAGAUCUAUACCUAGCCUUGCUCAUCAUGGGGAUAUUGCGCCUCAGAAAGACAAACUGAACCAUCAGGCAUGAAGUCCCUAUUCAGACUGAAGAAAAUAUUUUUCAGUAGAGAGAGAAGAGGAUCCAGAGCCUUUUUCUCUUUUUCCUUUGAAAGUUAUUUAAAAGCCCCAAAUAAAUUAGUUUGUUUCUUAAAAAUAAAAUAUUCUUGUUACACACAUUCUUGUGCUUUUGUCCCUGAGUUAUGUAUGCAGGGUGUAUGGGACAUGCGUCUGUUUGUGUACAGAUAUGUCUGUGCUGUGAAGUAUUGUGGGUUAUUCUCUGUGUCCUCCUUGGGAUUCUGUUUUAG